GCAUGUUGGAGCUGCCUGCCUGGGGUUCUGAGGAGGGACGAGCCCGCGGCUACUCGGGCCCGCUGCGCUGGUUCCGCGCUGGGGAUGGCGGGGAACGCUCCGGCCGUGCCCCAUCGCAGCUCGUUCCUGAGGCGGGGAAGGGCCGGGCCUGUGCCGGUAGGGACUCUGGGAGAGGGGCCGCCGGCCUGAUCCACUUAAGGGAUGCUCUUCCAUGAGGAUUUACUGCUGUGUUGGUUUCUUUCCUGCGUUGUGUUCUCAGGGGUUACACCUGGAUGAUCAUAAGGUCCCCUUUUAGUGUAGGGCUAGGUGACAGAUUUUAGCUUAAAACGUCCUUGUGAAAAAAGCAUAAAGUGGUCACCAGUACUUCUGGCUAAAACAAAUGUAGUCGGGGAAAUGUACAAGAGCUAAAGUGAUACUUGUGUUUACUAAAAGUUUCAUGGUUGGUUUGGUUUUGUUUUUUUUUUCACAGCCACCAUUUGGUGUAUUCUGUUGAAGCGAAAGCAAAGCUGCACACAAUACAUAAAUAAUACAAUACGGCUUGAGAUUGAUCAUGAAAACCUUUUGUGGAAGAGCCAAUCCAACCACUGGCUCGAUGGAGUGGCUGGAAGAGGGUGAGGACUAUGACUACCACCAGGAGAUUGCAAGGUCACGCUAUGCAGAUAUGCUUCAUGAUAAGGACAGAAAUGUGAAAUACUACCAAGGUAUUCGUGCUGCAGUGAGCAGAGUAAAGGAGAGAGGUGAGAAAGCAAUUGUGCUGGACAUAGGGACUGGCACAGGACUCCUGUCCAUGAUGGCAGCUUCAGCUGGGGCAGAUUUCUGCUAUGCCAUUGAGGUGUUCAAGCCCAUGGCUAAUGCUGCUGUGAAGAUAGUGGAGAAAAAUGGUUUUUCUGACAAGAUCAAAGUAAUCAACAAGCAUUCUACUGAAGUCACAGUUGGCCCAGAUGGAGAUAUGCAGUGUCGGGCAAACAUCCUGGUUACAGAAUUAUUUGAUACAGAGCUGAUUGGAGAAGGAGCUUUACCAACCUAUGAGCAUGCACACAGAUACCUUGUACAGGAAGGAUGUGAGGCAGUGCCUCACAGGGCAACAGUCUAUGUCCAGUUAGUGGAAUCCAGAAGAAUGUGGUCCUGGAAGAAACUCUUUCCUGUUCAUGUUGAAGCAGAGGAUGGUGAAAAAAUACUUGUUCCACCUUCAGAAAUGGAGAACUGUCCAGGUCUUCCUUCUGUUUGUGAUAUCCAACUGAACCAGAUGCCUUCAGGUGACUUCAGUACCCUUAGUGAUGUGGUGAAAAUGUUCAGUGUGGAUUUCAGUAAGCCAGUACAGAGUGCUUCUACCUGUUAUAGAGUGCAGCUGGAGCCUGUGAAAUCUGGCAAGGCACAAAUUGUACUUUCCUGGUGGGAUAUUGACAUGGACCCCUCUGGGAUGAUAAAUUGCUCAAUGGCUCCCUACUGGGUAAAACCCACUUCUGCUUUGCAGUGGAGGGAUCACUGGAUGCAGUGUGUUUAUUUUCUUCCACGUGAGGAGCCAGUUCUGCAGGGUGAGAAGCUGCACCUGACUGCCUGUCGUGAUGAGUACUCUGUGUGGUACAACCUGCAGAAAGCCAGAGAAGGGGAGAGCAGAGCAGAUGAAGAGCAGCACAAAGCAGAUGUCUGUGUGCAGAGUCCUGUCUGUAGGUGUCGUGCCCAUCUGCUGUGGAACAGGCCCCGCUUUGGGGAGCUGAACGAUCAGAGCCGGACACGCCAGUACAUCAAGUCCUUGAGGAAAGUUCUGAAAACAGAUAGCAUUUGCCUUUGUAUCAGUGAUGGCAGUCUGCUGCCUGUGCUGGCUCAUUAUCUUGGAGCAAAGCAGGUGUUUACCUUAGAAAACUCUGGUGUGUCCUGUUCUGUCAUGGAAAAAUUUUUUAAAGCAAAUAAUCUUGAAGAUAAAAUUAAAAUAAUAGAAGUGCGACCUGAGUUGCUGAAGCCUUCUCAUUUGGAAGAUAAAAAGAUUUCUGUCCUGGUGGGAGAGCCGUUUUUCACAACAAGUUUGUUGCCGUGGCAUAACCUGUAUUUCUGGUAUGCCAGGACAGCUGUGAGCUCUCACCUUGCCAGCAAUGUCACUGUCCUACCUCAGUCUGCUUCUUUGCACAUGAUGAUUGUGGAGUUCCAGGAUUUGUGGAGAAUCCGGAGUCCCUGUGGCAUCUGUGAAGGUUUUGAUGUCCGGACUAUGGAUGAUAUGAUUAAAGGAAUCCAAGGAAGCAGAACCUCACCCACUGUGGGAAUAUCCCUGCAAGUCACUCUCAGAGCCCCAGGAAGUUUUGACAUUUGACUUCACAAAGACUGUCCCAGAGCACUGUCUCAGCACAGAGGGCUCUGUAAAGCUCUUAAGGAAAGGCAAGAGCCACGGAGCAGUUCUGUGGAUGGAAUAUCAUCUUACUGCUGAUAUCUCUGUUAGUACAGGACUGAUGAAACUGUCCAAUGAAAAGGGAAACUGUGAAUGGAAUCCCCACUGCAAGCAAGCUGUUUAUUUCUUCAGCUCUGUUAUUGAAUCAGAAAUUCUGUCAGACCCUUCUGCUGUCGAAUAUGCUAUGAAUUUUGACACAAAGACAGGAGAGAUUGCCAUGGAUUUCAAGCUAUUAUAAAAUUCUUUCCUCCUGCUCAUAUUCCUAAAUUAUAAUAAAUAUACUGUAUUUCCUUUUUUUGUACAGCAGAAGUUUUCUUUCAUUGUGUUCACAGAGCAAACUUUUAUUUAACAUACUUCUAACCUUUUUGGUUUGUUUUCAAAAUACAGUUAGUGAGGUACAGAGGAACCAUUUCUUAGAGACAGGUAUUUUAGAGUCAGGGAUUAUAUACAUAUAUACACACAUGCUUUUCAUCAUCUCUUCCAGAGUUUUACAUAGUGCUAAGGAGGUACAGAACAGUUGUUUUGACAAUAGUAGCUGGUUAUUGCAGGGCAUAUCAUUGGAUGAGGACACCAGGCCUUACACUGACAUUAGAGAAAAGUGAAUUAAACACUUCUAUUUCUGGGCUGUGCUCUGUCACUGUAAAAUGGGAAAUAAUCUCCAGACUGCACAAACAGAAAUCCCAAGUCAAGCUAUAUAUGUAUAUUAGUACAUGUAAUAGGGAGAAGGAAACAGCUUAGCUGCUCUCAGACUUGUCUAAGUUCUGUUCUGCUGCAGCUGAUGAUCUGAGAUGCUGCAUUUCUGAAGAGUCCUGUGCCAAAAAGUGACCAGAAUCUGGAAAGCUGUGACUGGAAAUUAGAAAAUAUAUAUUCAGAUUAUUGGAAGUGACAAACCAAUGGUAGUUGACUAGAAACUGAAGAAAAAGAGUCAUGGGCAAAAAGCAAAUCUUUAUGAGAGAUGUAAUAUUCAGUAGAUGAUUAAAAAUGACUCAUUCCAUCAGAGGUGUAAAUAAAACCUGCCAGUUUGGCUGAGUUGUGAGGUCCCUGCAGUAGCACAUGUCCACUGCUGAGGUUUUCUUAGUUUUCUCCACAUCACAUUGGCUUCAGUGGCAUUGUGUGAAGUGAAUUCUGCUUUAGAUGAAGAAUCAAUUGAUAUCUGUUUUGUAUGUGUGACCUAUUAAAGUUUUGAUAGAAAA
Molecule: non-coding RNA, 3573 nt
Organism: Zonotrichia albicollis (white-throated sparrow)
Lineage: Eukaryota; Metazoa; Chordata; Aves; Passeriformes; Passerellidae
Source: RefSeq, a predicted model, not a curated record